AUUGACGCAUCCCUCGCCAAUCUCCCCUUCCUUGUCUGUCUUUGCCUUCCGCCAUGGCUUCCGAGCAGAUUCUCCUCCCUUCAUCGAAGGUUCGGACCUGGUUUCAUCACAGAUCUUAUUUUCUAGGGUUUCCAUUCUUCUGCUGGGCUGAGAUCAUAAACCACAUUCUUCCACUCUGUCGAGCGGGCAUUGAUGGGCUAAGCGGCCUCACAUCAUUGUUUGGUCCAAAUCAAGAGUUUUGGCCCCAUCGAUAGACACUGCAACGUUCCCACAAAACCUAGUUUAGAUUCUUUCGAAGUUAGUGCUUCUAUCUGAUGUGAUCGUCUUCGAGGAGGAGGAGGGCAACCUCUCACGCCAUCGAUGGCUUACUCCAAGUUGGCUUCGACGAGUUUGUGUCUACAAUCAGUGUUCUUGUCGUCCAUCGAGAUCAUCUUAUUUCAUGUUUCAGCUAUCACCGACAAUUUUGCGUGAACAUUAUGUGAUUGAGGGAAGUAUGCCAAUCUAUCUGAGAUGGGUCGGAUGAGAACUGCCCAUCUUACUGUGUGAAAUUUAGCCUUGAUGGAUCAUUUACGUUCCCAAGCAACAACGGAAGAGUUGGAUAUACGAUGCAUAAACGUAAUGAAGGACCUAUUUGCAGGUGCUCUGUUUCUUGUUGACGGUCAUUCUCUGUGUGUGCAAGUGUUAGCCAGAGAAAGAGGGGUGUUUGCCGCUGAACUGUAAUCAGGUUCUCUUUACUUGUUUGGGCAUUAUCUCAGCCAUCUCACCAAUCUUGGAACUCUGUUUCAAUCAUUUUCAGAGAAAAAAAUAAAUUUGAGCUGUUCAGAGGAAAAAGAAGGUGGUUGCUCUCCAACUCACUAUGAUUGCCUAAUAUUCCAGGAAGCCCCUAUUGUCAUGUUACUGCACGGAACUUGGAAGCACAUGUGUUUUUUUGCAGCUGGUCUCGUCCAUGGAAGAUACAUUUGCAGCCAGCUUUCUGAUGGACAGGACAGAAUAGUUCAAGGUGAACAAUUCAACAAGAGGAGGAACAUAAUUGAAAACAGCGUCAUUUUUCUCAUCUUCUUGCCAGCGAUCACGGUUUGUUCUACGAGCCGUACGUGGAGGAAGGUCUGCCCCUUUUAAGAGAUGCAAAAUGCCAUUGCAUCAGGACUUCAACAUGGGAUUCCCUAAAGCACAUGAAGGUCUUGACAGAAGCAGCUUAGGAUUCGUGCAGAGGCACACAUGGACACCCAGUCCAGUGAACCAUGUCAUGGUAGGCAGGGAAAUGACUAUUACCUAACUGAGUACUCUGGUAACACUAUGCCUUAAGAGAAAGGUCAGCAAGGGUAUAUAAAAGCUGCAGCACCCUCUCUUGACUGAAAAUUUUAUCUAAUAGUUACUUGUGGUCAGUGAUAUUUUAUACAGUGUUUGUACCACACCAGCAUGGAUCAUCAUUAAAUUAUAGAAAUGUAGCUCCUUGGAGAUCUGUUGCAUAGUGACGUAAACACUAAUCUAGAGCAGCAUCAUCAUUAAAUUAUAGAAAUGUAGCUCCUUGGAGAUCUGUUGCGUAGUGACACGAACACUAAUCUAGAGCAGCAUGACGUGGAUACAUGGAUGAUGGGCAUGCAUAACUGCAUGGAUGAUGAGGCAUGGGGACAGACAUCCUUCCAUACUCAACAGGGUUCUUGCAUUUCCCUAGCAUGGUAUGCAUCAUAAAAGAAAACUAUUGAUGGUUGACCUCUGCAGGUUGCUCAUGCAAGUGAAUCUUUCUGCACCAAAUCAAGUAUUAAAAAAUCUCACAGGACCAGUGCAAUCAGAGGCUUGCAGGACACACUUGGAAUAUUUUCUUAGUCCCUAUUGCUCUUGUUUUGGUAUUCAGUACAAGUUCACUAGAUCAUCAUCCUGCAAAUUCUCUGGGAAGGGUUUGAAUCACAGGAAGGGAAUAACAUGAGCGAUCAAGCAGUGGAAGCUUGAGAUGAACUACUACAUGGGGACAUCACGAGGCACAGCAAAGAACAAAGUUUCCACCUGAGGGAUGAAUGAAAAGAAAUCUACUCUUCACACCACAGUAAUGAGUGCUGAGGUUUCAGUGGUAGCAGUGGUUGCACAGCAAUAAGUCUCGGAACGAGAAGCAGAGACAUGCACUUGGCAAGUCUUGUGUGGUGGAGAUAAGGGGAAGCACUCUGUCGUCGGCUUUUGCAGGUACAGAUGCGGUCAAAUUCAGUGAACGAACGCCGACAGUUUCGUCACAACCAUUCGUCACCCAAACAAUAGCAGGAAGCCGUAUGGCCGUCAGAUUCUUUCUUCCAUGAGCGGUUGGCCGCUAUCUUUGACAGUCUUCAACGCAGAUGCCGAUGGCUUCCUCUUAUGAGACGCCCUCACUCAUCUAUACGUAUGUCUAUAUAUUAUACGCCUAACAUGACACGUGGAUAAUAGGUGCCACAUCAAUUCCGUGUCAUUGACCACAUCACCAUUGAAUCUCCAAGAGUUUCAACUUUAGCGUCGGAGAGACUCGGUCAUGCAUCCUACUCGACUCUAAUCUUUGUACGAAUCGAUAUCUUGGCGAAUACUCAAGUGAUCAUCUCGGAUGCCUCAGAUUUUAUUCGUCGGUAUUAGUUUUUACAAGAUAGAUGUGUAAACUAGAUCUCCAUCCGAUUCGUCGGUAUCAGUGAUGUGCUCCUAGUAGUGUUUCCGAUAGAAGAAGAGAUUAAGACAAGACAAAUAGGCAUAUCAGCAUAUAAAGUACGAAGUGAUCAUUGAUCAAACACAUGAUGAAGAAAUAACAAAUAUGGUGUCCACCUUCUUGUCUGGUUAUGUACCUAUUAUGUGUUGAAUAUGCGUACAUAUGGAUAGCAAA
Musa acuminata AAA Group (dessert banana) is the source of this 2833-nucleotide long non-coding RNA. RefSeq lists it as uncharacterized. The record is from RefSeq and is a predicted model, not a curated record. NCBI's taxonomy places the organism in Eukaryota, Viridiplantae, Streptophyta, Magnoliopsida, Zingiberales, Musaceae. The transcript is spliced from 7 exons.